GCCUAACACAUGCAAGUCGAACGGUAACAGGAAGCAGCUUGCUGCUUCGCUGACGAGUGGCGGACGGGUGAGUAAUGUCUGGGAAGCUGCCUGAUGGAGGGGGAUAACUACUGGAAACGGUAGCUAAUACCGCAUAAUGUCGCAAGACCAAAGAGGGGGACCUUCGGGCCUCUUGCCAUCGGAUGUGCCCAGAUGGGAUUAGCUUGUUGGUGGGGUAACGGCUCACCAAGGCGACGAUCCCUAGCUGGUCUGAGAGGAUGACCAGCCACACUGGAACUGAGACACGGUCCAGACUCCUACGGGAGGCAGCAGUGGGGAAUAUUGCACAAUGGGCGCAAGCCUGAUGCAGCCAUGCCGCGUGAAUGAAGAAGGCCUUCGGGUUGUAAAGUACUUUCAGCGGGGAGGAAGGGAGUAAAGUUAAUACCUUUGCUCAUUGACGUUACCCGCAGAAGAAGCACCGGCUAACUCCGUGCCAGCAGCCGCGGUAAUACGGAGGGUGCAAGCGUUAAUCGGAAUUACUGGGCGUAAAGCGCACGCAGGCGGUUUGUUAAGUCAGAUGUGAAAUCCCCGGGCUCAACCUGGGAACUGCAUCUGAUACUGGCAAGCUUGAGUCUCGUAGAGGGGGGUAGAAUUCCAGGUGUAGCGGUGAAAUGCGUAGAGAUCUGGAGGAAUACCGGUGGCGAAGGCGGCCCCCUGGACGAAGACUGACGCUCAGGUGCGAAAGCGUGGGGAGCAAACAGGAUUAGAUACCCUGGUAGUCCACGCCGUAAACGAUGUCGACUUGGAGGUUGUGCCCUUGAGGCGUGGCUUCCGGAGCUAACGCGUUAAGUCGACCGCCUGGGGAGUACGGCCGCAAGGUUAAAACUCAAAUGAAUUGACGGGGGCCCGCACAAGCGGUGGAGCAUGUGGUUUAAUUCGAUGCAACGCGAAGAACCUUACCUGGUCUUGACAUCCACGGAAGUUUUCAGAGAUGAGAAUGUGCCUUCGGGAACCGUGAGACAGGUGCUGCAUGGCUGUCGUCAGCUCGUGUUGUGAAAUGUUGGGUUAAGUCCCGCAACGAGCGCAACCCUUAUCCUUUGUUGCCAGCGGUCCGGCCGGGAACUCAAAGGAGACUGCCAGUGAUAAACUGGAGGAAGGUGGGGAUGACGUCAAGUCAUCAUGGCCCUUACGACCAGGGCUACACACGUGCUACAAUGGCGCAUACAAAGAGAAGCGACCUCGCGAGAGCAAGCGGACCUCAUAAAGUGCGUCGUAGUCCGGAUUGGAGUCUGCAACUCGACUCCAUGAAGUCGGAAUCGCUAGCAAUCGUGGAUCAGAAUGCCACGGUGAAUACGUUCCCGGGCCUUGUACACACCGCCCGUCACACCAUGGGAGUGGGUUGCAAAAGAAGUAGGUAGCUUAACCUUCGGGAGGGCGCUUACCACUUUGUGAUU
RNAcentral lists this ribosomal RNA (1433 nucleotides) under uncultured Shigella sp. Its description in RNAcentral is "16S ribosomal RNA". It matches the Rfam family "Bacterial small subunit ribosomal RNA". Lineage: Bacteria; Pseudomonadati; Pseudomonadota; Gammaproteobacteria; Enterobacterales; Enterobacteriaceae. The record is from RNAcentral.